Molecule: unclassified non-coding RNA, 863 nt
Filed under: Hevea brasiliensis (rubber tree)
Lineage: Eukaryota; Viridiplantae; Streptophyta; Magnoliopsida; Malpighiales; Euphorbiaceae
Source: RNAcentral
GGCAAUUUCUACUCCUUAGAAAUAUUUUUUUUUUGGGUUAGCUCUGUUGCAAUCAUGAUUGUGUGAUUUUCAUGCCCCUAUAUUAUUUGUGUGUGUCUGUGUGCAGUUACUGUUUACAUGAGUUUGGUUGUUCAUCUAUGUUUAAUUUUUGUUGAGAAUAUGGAUCGCGUGCUGUUUCUUGGUGUAACCUGCCUUGUGAUUGGAAUGAAUAAGUUUUGUUAUGGAGGUAAAUGAUAGAGAAAGACUCUUAAGUUAAUUAUAAAGGAAAUCUAAGCAUAAAGCUAAGUAUUGAAUAAAGGAUUGUUGUAAGAAAAACUGAUUAGUUAAUUCCCACUGACUAUAAAAAAUAUGGAAGUGAUUGUCAAACAUAUGUCAUGUAAUUAAAGUUAUAACUAUUAAUAAAAUUAAUUUCUAAUUCAAAUUAAAAUCUAUAGUGUGAUAUGUAGCAAUAUGAAAAUCGAGAAGAAGGUAAUGUGUAUCUUAGUGGAUAUAAUAUUCAAGUUUUAUUCAUUCAAUGCUUGGGAUUCUUGUUGAUUAAUCAAAAAAGUUUAUUCUUGAAAGCCAUUUCACAUAGUGCGGAUAUAAAAUUGUGUAUUUAAUAUGCAUUGAUGUGAUAAUAUUGAGAUGGGGAACUCUUUCCAGCAAAUAUAUUGCUGCAGUCCCUCGCCCUUUAGGUAUGCUGUAUUAGCAAGUGAAAGCAAUCUUGGAGAGAACAUAUGAUUGGAAAUGCUAAAUAUAUCAUAAAAAAAUAGCCUUAUUUUAGAAGCUUGUGCAAUUGAAAGAAGACAAAGAGGAAGGCUCAUCAGAAGAAAUCCAGAAAUAUGACUGGAUUCCUUUUAUUGCAAUAACAAAAAUGAAUCUGU